GAUGAACGCUGGCGGCGUGCCUAAUACAUGCAAGUCGAGCGGACAGACGAGGAGCUUGCUCCUCUGACGUUAGCGGCGGACGGGUGAGUAACACGUGGAUAACCUACCUAUCAUACUGGGAUAACUUCGGGACACCGGAGCUAAUACCGGAGAAUAUUUUGAACCGCAUGGUUGAAUGGUGAAAGACGGUGUUGCGGUCACUUAUAGAGGGAUCCGCGCUGCAUUAGCUAGUUGGUAAGGUAACGGCUUACCAAGGGGACGAUGCGUAGCCGACCUGAGAGGGUGAUCGGCCACACUGGAACUGAGACACGCUCCAGACGCCUACGGUAGGCAGCAGUCGGGAACGUUCCGCAAUGGGCGAAAGCCUGACGGAGCAACGCCGCGUGAGUGAUGAAGGUCUUCGGAUCGUAAAACUCUGUUAUUAGGGAAGAACAUAUGUGUAAGUAACUGUGCACUUCUUGACGGUACCUAAUCAGAAAGCCACGGCUAACUACGUG
RNAcentral lists this ribosomal RNA (497 nucleotides) under uncultured bacterium. RNAcentral's name for it is "partial 16S ribosomal RNA". It matches the Rfam family "Bacterial small subunit ribosomal RNA", at positions 28 to 507 of the family's 1533-position model. The record is from RNAcentral.